UACGUAGGGAGCGAGCGUUGUCCGGAUUUAUUGGGCGUAAAGAGCGUGUAGGCGGCUGGGUAGGUCCGUUGUGAAAACUCGAGGCUCAACCUCGAGACGCCGAUGGAAACCCUCCAGCUAGAGUCCGGAAGAGGAGAGUGGAAUUCCUGGUGUAGCGGUGAAAUGCGCAGAUAUCAGGAAGAACACCCGUGGCUAAGGCGGCUCUCUAGUACGGUACUGACGCUGAGACGCGAAAGCGUGGGGAGCGAACAGG
Molecule: ribosomal RNA, 253 nt
Filed under: uncultured bacterium
Lineage: Bacteria
Description: partial 16S ribosomal RNA
Rfam family: Bacterial small subunit ribosomal RNA
Source: RNAcentral